RNAcentral lists this long non-coding RNA (428 nucleotides) under Equus asinus (donkey). RNAcentral's name for it is "lncRNA (ENSEASG00005032036.1)". Lineage: Eukaryota; Metazoa; Chordata; Mammalia; Perissodactyla; Equidae. The record is from RNAcentral.
GUCCAACUGCAAAGGAGUUCGCCGCAUGCCUGGCACAUGUCUUUUCUAGGGAGGUGGAGUCAUCUUCACUGUGGAGCCCAAGCCAUUUGCUGACCAUUGUGGCACAGAGGAAAGGGACAAGGGGAACCCUGGCUCUUAAAGCUUCUGCUUCCAUUUGCCAAAGUGGAAAAAUGAAGCACAGAUGAAGGAACUCCUAGAGUCACACACCUGCAGUGAGGCUGCCAUUCAGUUAUGUUUGCUCUCUGUGUCUGGACCCUUCACCAGCUGUGUGGAUCCAUGAUGGACAAGAUGAAGCCAAUUGUUCAUCAAACACAACAGAAGUAAGGCCAAAGUGAUGACAGAAAGACAGUGAUGGAGAGGUGAUGGCUGGAAGAAUGGGGGGUAAUUUUUGAAGUGGGUCAGUAUCCUAUCUGUGAACUGUGGUUGGG